This is a non-coding RNA of Cricetulus griseus (Chinese hamster), 1297 nucleotides long. Lineage: Eukaryota; Metazoa; Chordata; Mammalia; Rodentia; Cricetidae. The record is from RefSeq and is a predicted model, not a curated record.
UGAGGCUUAGCCAAGGGCAGGGAGCUUGGAGGGUAGAGAGAUCUUAAGACAGUUGAUUUCUAUAAUGGAUGUGUAAAAGCAAUUAUUAUCAUCGAAUCAAGAACAAAAACCAGAGGUUAUUUAAUUUAGUGCCUGUGGUAUGCCUGAUAAAAGAUUUACUUAGUGUUUCAUCGUCCAUGUGUGACGAAGUUGUUUCUCUUUACAAAUUGUUGCUGACCUCCAUUACUUCUUCAGCAUGUGCCCACUCACUUCUGCACUAGGUAAUUUGGGCACACUGAUUUUUAAGCCUUGGCUUUAAGUUAAUACAAGGGCAGCGUGAUCCUAGGAAGUUAAUUUACCCAGUUUUUGUUAUCUGCACGUACUGAAUCCUAUGUAGAGAAAAUAGGUUAGGGUAGGGUUAUAAUUGUUAUCAUGACUGUUUUCUAACAGAUCCUUGUUUGAUAGGAGAAAAAUUAGGAAAUUGAACCCAUUUUAAGAACCCCCACCCAAUAUCCUUCAUUUUCUCGGUAGCACUGCAUAUGACAGUAAUUGAAAUUUCUAUUUGAUUGGGAAACUUUACAUUUCCCCCUUCUAUUUGCAGAUUCUAAAUGGAGGGACUCCAGACAUUCCUUCCACUGGCCUACUAUCAGGGCAGGCUCAAGAGACCCCAGGUUAUCCAUAUUCUGAUAGUUCUUCUAUUCUUGGUGAGAACCCCCACAUAGGCAUCGAUAUGAUAGACAACGACCAAGGAUCCAGUAGUCCCAGUAAUGACGAGGCAGCGAUGGCUGUCAUCAUGAGCCUCUUGGAAGCAGAUGCGGGCCUGGGUGGUCCUGUUGACUUUAGCGACUUGCCAUGGCCGCUGUAGACACAUUUUGCUUUGGCAACAGCUACAGUAUCAAAGUGCAUUACUGGUGAAGUUUUACAGUCUGUGAAGCUUACUGGAUAGGGAGAGAACAGCUUUUAUGUACUGACUCCAUAAAAGCCAUCUCAGAGCCAUUGAUACAAGUCAAUCUACCAUGUGUAACUUCAGACAAAGUGGAACUAAGCCUGCUCCAGUGUUUUCUCAUCAUCGAGUUUGGGCUAGCUGUGGAUAGCUUGCAUUAAUUGUAUAUUUUGGAUUUUGUUUGUGUUGAAUUUUUUAAUCAUUGUGCACAGAAGCAUCAUUGGUAGCUUUUAUAUGCAAAAUGGUCAUUUCAGAUGUAUGGUGUUUUUACACUACAAAGAAGUCCCCCAUGUGGAUAUUUCUUAUACUAAUUGUAUCAUAAAGCUGUUUAUUCUUCCUUGUAAGAAUCCUUUACUAUAAAUAUGGGUUAAAGUA